GAUGAAGAACGCAGCGAAAUGCGAUACGUAAUGUGAAUUGCAGAAUUCAGUGAAUCAUCGAGUCUUUGAACGCACAUUGCGCCCCCUGGUAUUCCGGGGGGCAUGCCUGUCCGAGCGUCAUUGCUGCCCUCAAGCACGGCUUGUGUGUUGGGCCUCCGUCCUCCUCCCGGGGGACGGGCCCUAAAGGCAGCGGCGGCACCGCGUCCGGUCCUCGAGCGUAUGGGGCUUCGUCACCCGCUCUUGUAGGCCCGGCCGGCGCUUGCCGACACAUCAAUCUUUUUUCCAGGUUGACCUCGGAUCAGGUAGGGAUACCCGCUGAACUUAAGCAUAUCAAUAAGCGGAGGA
Molecule: unclassified non-coding RNA, 345 nt
Filed under: soil metagenome
Description: partial contains 5.8S ribosomal RNA, internal transcribed spacer 2, and large subunit ribosomal RNA
Rfam family: 5.8S ribosomal RNA (bases 1-120)
Source: RNAcentral